RNAcentral lists this ribosomal RNA (1268 nucleotides) under metagenome. RNAcentral describes it as "bacterial LSU rRNA". It matches the Rfam family "Bacterial large subunit ribosomal RNA", at positions 1638 to 2925 of the family's 2925-position model. The record is from RNAcentral.
AUGCCUGUACCAUAACCGACACAGGUGGGUAGGUAGAGUAUACUAAGGGGCGCGAGAUAACUCUCUCUAAGGAACUCGGCAAAAUGACUCCGUAACUUCGGGAGAAGGAGUGCCUUAUUUAUAAGGUUGCAAUAACAAGAUCCAAGCAACUGUUUAACAAAAACACGGGUCUCCGCUAAGUCGUAAGACGAUGUAUGGGGGCUGACGCCUGCCCAGUGCCAGAAGGUUAAAGAAGUUGGUUAGUGUAUGCGAAGCUGAUGACUGAAGCCCUGGUGAACGGCGGCCGUAACAAUAACGGUCCUAAGGUAGCGAAAUUCCUUGUCGGGUAAGUUCCGACCCGCACGAAAGGCGUAAUGAUUUGGAUACUGUCUCGGAGAGAGGCUCGGUGAAAUAGACUUGUCUGUGAAGAUGCGGACUACCUGCACCAGGACAGAAAGACCCUAUGAAGCUUUACUGUAACUUGAAAUUGGAAUUGGACUUUGCUUGCGCAGUAUAGGUGGGAAGCGUUGAAGAUAUUCUUGCGGGAGUAUUGGAGCUAUCAGUGAGAUACCACUCUUGUAAUGUUAGAUUUCUAACUUUGAACCAUAAUCUGGUCAAAGAACAGUUUCAGGUGGGCAGUUUGACUGGGGCGGUCGCCUCCCAAAUGGUAACGGAGGCGUACAAAGGUUUCCUCUGAACGGAUAGAAAUCGUAUCUAGAGUGUAAAGGCAUAAGGAAGCUUGACUGUGAGACCUACAAGUCGAGCAGGGACGAAAGUCGGUCUUAGUGAUCUGACGGUACUGAGUGGAAAGGCCGUCACUCAACGGAUAAAAGUUACUCUAAGGAUAACAGGCUGAUCUCCCCCAAGAGUUCACAUCGACGGGGAGGUUUGGCACCUCGAUGUCGGCUCAUCGCAUCCUGGGGCGGUAGUACGUCCCAAGGGUUGGGCUGUUCGCCCAUGAAAGCGGUACGCGAGCUGGGUUCAGAACGUCGUGAGACAGUUCGGUCCAUAUCCGGUGUAGGCGUUAGAAUAUUGAGAGGAGCCUUCUUUAGUACGAGAGGACCGAGAAGGACACACCGCUGGUGUACCAGUUAUCGUGCCAACGGUAAACGCUGGGUAGCUAUGUGUGGAGUGGAUAACCGCUGAAAGCAUCUAAGUGGGAAGCCCACCUCAAGAUGAGUACUCCCAUGGGGUAAACCCAGUAAGGUCACGGGAAGACCACCCGUUUAUAGGUUCUAGAUGGAAGUCCAGCAAUGGAUGAAGUCGAGGGAUACUAAUAGACCGAGGGC